Molecule: ribosomal RNA, 624 nt
Filed under: uncultured bacterium
Lineage: Bacteria
Description: bacterial SSU rRNA
Rfam family: Bacterial small subunit ribosomal RNA
Source: RNAcentral
CCUACGGGAGGCAGCAGUGGGGAAUUUUGGACAAUGGGCGCAAGCCUGAUCCAGCAAUGCCGCGUGCAGGAUGAAGGCCUUCGGGUUGUAAACUGCUUUUUGUACGGAACGAAACGGUCUGCCCUAAUACGGUGGGCUAAUGACGGUACCGUAAGAAUAAGCACCGGCUAACUACGUGCCAGCAGCCGCGGUAAUACGUAGGGUGCGAGCGUUAAUCGGAAUUACUGGGCGUAAAGCGUGCGCAGGCGGUUAUGUAAGACAGAUGUGAAGUCCCCGGGCUCAACCUGGGACCUGCAUUUGUGACUGCAUAGCUAGAGUACGGUAGAGGGGGAUGGAAUUCCGCGUGUAGCAGUGAAAUGCGUAGAUAUGCGGAGGAACACCGAUGGCGAAGGCAAUCCCCUGGACCUGUACUGACGCUCAUGCACGAAAGCGUGGGGAGCAAACAGGAUUAGAUACCCUGGUAGUCCACGCCCUAAACGAUGUCAACUGGUUGUUGGGUCUUCACUGACUCAGUAACGAAGCUAACGCGUGAAGUUGACCGCCUGGGGAGUACGGCCGCAAGGUUGAAACCUUAAGAGUAGUAGUACGGACGUGAGAGUAGACGACGAGACACGAGGGAGGGAG